Molecule: ribosomal RNA, 468 nt
Filed under: uncultured bacterium
Lineage: Bacteria
Description: partial 16S ribosomal RNA
Rfam family: Bacterial small subunit ribosomal RNA
Source: RNAcentral
GACGAACGCUGGCGGCGUGCUUAACACAUGCAAGUCGAACGGAAAGGCCCUGCUUUUGUGGGGUGCUCGAGUGGCGAACGGGUGAGUAACACGUGAGUAACCUGCCCUUGACUUUGGGAUAACUUCAGGAAACUGGGGCUAAUACCGGAUAGGAGCUCCUGCUGCAUGGUGGGGGUUGGAAAGUUUCGGCGGUUGGGGAUGGACUCGCGGCUUAUCAGCUUGUUGGUGGGGUAGUGGCUUACCAAGGCUUUGACGGGUAGCCGGCCUGAGAGGGUGACCGGCAACAUUGGGACUGAGAUACGGCCCAGACUCCUACGGGAGGCAGCAGUGGGGAAUAUUGCACAAUGGGCGGAAGCCUGAUGCAGCAACGCCGCGUGCGGGAUGACGGCCUUCGGGUUGUAAACCGCUUUCGCCUGUGACGAAGCGUGAGUGAUGGUAAUGGGUAAAGAAGCACCGGCUAACUACGUG